CGGAUAUAUGCUUAUCUCUUAUUGUCAUAAACAAUGAAUAUAACCCAAAAACAGUCAAAAAAGAUCAACAGCACCUUGUCCUUUUUGUUUCACCCAUGUCUCCUCAAUAAUGAGUGUUGAUGAAGCAAAAGCAAAAGGAACCCAAAAGAUAAAACCUAGUGGGGGAGGCAUGAACACCGGAACAUGAUUGUACGUGCAGCUAUUCUGUGUCCAUCCACCUUAACCCAAAACCUGAUAAGCCACCAAAACCCCACCCACCUCUCAAAGAACUCACCCCACUAUCUCAAUGGUAAAACAGCCAUCAUCAUGUCUGCCGAUCUCCCACAGUAGAGCUGGCUAGUUGGUCUACACAUGCAGAAUACAACUUCCCUCUACUCAUCAGUGUUAAUUUCUUCAAUUCUUCAAUCAUGUAUUUGACGUUUUUUGGAGGCUCUUAGACUCUUUAGAUCUUCUUUUUGAGCUGGUCAUGGUAUCAAUAUUAUACAGGAAAGGUAGAAACAGAAGCUGGAAGAACCUCGCUGUUGGUACUCCUGGCGGCGUCGACGGCGCAAAACAGGUGCACUGCAUUAGUGUGCUCCUGUUAUGCUCCCCCAUGGAGCUCUUCUAACAGUACCAAAGCUGAAGAGAGAAGAAGGGUAGUUGGAACCAGCCACAGGAAGAGAUCAGCAACAGCAGUGCCCACAGAAGAGGGAAAUGGGGUCGUGGUGGAAGAAAUUGGUAAUCAUAUUGAAAUAUUGGAGGCUGAUGAAGGCAGGAGCAAUAGAAGUACUGGUGGGUCUGAUGGGGCUCACAUGGAACCCCCUCCUCUCAAGAGUAAUCUCAAGAAGACUACAUUGGUAGUGGAGGAGAAUCAAGCAAGUACAGGCAGGAGGAAAGUUAGCUGGCCAGAUGCUCAUGGUGAGGACAUAGCUCAUGUUCAAGAGUUUGAACCAAGUGUGAUCGAGGAUGGGGAACUUGAGGGCGUGAGGAAUUCUUGCGUUUGUGCAAUUCAAUGAAUUGAAGGAAGAUAUUUGAUGGAGAAUUGCAGGUGGAUCUUCUUUUGAAUGUCAUCUUCCAUAGCUAUUCGUACUUUAAAAUGGAACUAAUGAAUUAAAGGUGGUGGAGAUGAAUUUCUGCAGGGGAGCUAAUGAAUUUGUUUUCAUUAACUUUAAAAUGUGAGGAAAAUGAGAAAAUAUUAUAGGUAUCAUCUCAAUAUGUUAUAUAUAUUAUAGAUUUCUUUUCUCCCUAAAACUUUGAGAGUUGUCUUUUUCAUUUCUAAAACUUUAGUGAUGUGUAAAGCUAAUUCUUUGUUCAUUAAUAUCGUAUGUGUUUUUUU
Malania oleifera is the source of this 1315-nucleotide long non-coding RNA. RefSeq lists it as uncharacterized. The record is from RefSeq and is a predicted model, not a curated record. The transcript has 3 exons. NCBI's taxonomy places the organism in Eukaryota, Viridiplantae, Streptophyta, Magnoliopsida, Santalales, Ximeniaceae.